UUGGAGGGCAAGUCUGGUGCCAGCAGCCGCGGUAAUUCCAGCUCCAAUAGCGUAUAUUAAAGUUGUUGCAGUUAAAAAGCUCGUAGUUGAAUUUCGGAAUCCAUCCGUCGGUCGGGCUUCACGGUCCGCACUGGUGUGAUGGAUUCCUACCUUCUGAAUAACCAGCAUGCUAUUAAUUUGGUGCGUUGGGGAAGCAGGACUGUUACCUUGAAAAAAUUAGAGUGCUUAAAGCAGGCUAGUGCCUGAAUACAUUAGCAUGGAAUAAUGAAAUAGGACGGCAUGGUUCUAUUUUGUUGGUUUCUAGGAUCACCGUAAUGAUUAAUAGGGAUAGUUGGGGGCAUUAGUAUUCAAUUGUCAGAGGUGAAAUUCUUGGAUUUAUUGAGGACUAACUACUGCGAAAGCAUUUGCCAAGGAUGUUUUCAUUAAUCAAGAACGAAAGUUAGGGGAUCGAAGACGAUCAGAUACCGUCGUAGUCUUAACCAUAAACUAUGCCGACUAGGGAUCGGAUGAUGUUAAUUUUUUAAUGACUCAUUCGGCGCCUUACGGGAAAC
Molecule: ribosomal RNA, 551 nt
Filed under: uncultured Glomeromycotina
Lineage: Eukaryota; Fungi; Glomeromycota
Description: SSU rRNA
Rfam family: Eukaryotic small subunit ribosomal RNA
Source: RNAcentral